RNAcentral lists this ribosomal RNA (793 nucleotides) under uncultured bacterium. Its description in RNAcentral is "bacterial SSU rRNA". It matches the Rfam family "Bacterial small subunit ribosomal RNA", at positions 31 to 806 of the family's 1533-position model. The record is from RNAcentral.
CAACGCUGGCGGUAUGCCUAAUACGUGCAAGUCGAACGCUGAAGCACUCUGCUUGCAGAGUGUGGAUGAGUGGCGAACAGGUGAGUAACACGUGGGGAACCUGCCCAUAAGAGGGGGAUAACAUCCGGAAACGGGUGCUAAUACCGCAUAGGUGAUCAUAGCGCAUGCUUAGAUCAUUAAAGAUGGCUUCGGCUAUCGCUUAUGGAUGGCCCCGCGGCGUAUUAGCUAGUUGGUGAGGUAAUGGCUCACCAAGGCUGUGAUACGUAGCCGACCUGAGAGGGUGAUCGGCCACACUGGAACUGAGACACGGUCCAGACUCCUACGGGAGGCAGCAGUAGGGAAUCUUCCACAAUGGGCGAAAGCCUGAUGGAGCAAUACCGCGUGAGUGAAGAAGGUCUUCGGAUCGUAAAGCUCUGUUGUUAGAGAAGAACAAGAGGUGUAGUAACUGGCACCUCCUUGACGGUAUCUAACCAGAAAGUCACGGCUAACUACGUGCCAGCAGCCGCGGUAAUACGUAGGUGACAAGCGUUGUCCGGAUUUAUUGGGCGUAAAGCGAGCGCAGGCGGUCUUUUAAGUCUGAUGUGAAAGCCCACGGCUCAACCGUGGAGGGUCAUUGGAAACUGGAAGACUUGAAUGCAGAAGAGGAAAGUGGAAUUCCAUGUGUAGCGGUGAAAUGCGUAAAUAUAUGGAGGAACACCAGUGGCGAAGGCGACUUUCUGGUCUGUAAUUGACGCUGAGGCUCGAAAGCGUGGGGAGCGAACAGGAUUAAAUACCCUGGUAGUCCCCCCGUAAC